Molecule: ribosomal RNA, 506 nt
Filed under: uncultured bacterium
Lineage: Bacteria
Description: partial 16S ribosomal RNA
Rfam family: Bacterial small subunit ribosomal RNA
Source: RNAcentral
AGUGAACGCUGGCGGUAGGCCUAACACAUGCAAGUCGAACGGCAGCACAGGAGAGCUUGCUCUCUGGGUGGCGAGUGGCGGACGGGUGAGGAAUACAUCGGAAUCUACUCUGUCGUGGGGGAUACCGUAGGGAAACUUACGCUAAUACCGCAUACGACCUACGGGUGAAAGCAGGGGACCUUCGGGCCUUGCGCGAUUGAAUGAGCCGAUGUCGGAUUAGCUAGUUGGCGGGGUAAAGGCCCACCAAGGCGACGAUCCGUAGCUGGUCUGAGAGGAUGUUCAGCCACACUGGAACUGAGACACGGUCCAGACUCCUACGGGAGGCAGCAGUGGGGAAUAUUGGACAAUGGGCGCAAGCCUGAUCCAGCCAUACCGCGUGGGUGAAGAAGGCCUUCGGGUUGUAAAGCCCUUUUGUUGGGAAAGAAAUCCAGCUGGCUAAUACCCGGUUGGGAUGACGGUACCCAAAGAAUAAGCACCGGCUAACUUCGUGCCAGCAGCCGCGGUAA